This 448-nucleotide ribosomal RNA is filed under the name uncultured Planctomycetota bacterium. RNAcentral's name for it is "bacterial SSU rRNA". It matches the Rfam family "Bacterial small subunit ribosomal RNA", at positions 217 to 656 of the family's 1533-position model. The record is from RNAcentral. Lineage: Bacteria; Pseudomonadati; Planctomycetota.
GUUCAGAGAGGGGUCAAUGUCCUAUCAGCUAGUUGGGAGGGUAAUGGCCUACCAAGGCGAAGACGGGUAGCCGGCCUGAGAGGGUGGUCGGCCACAUUGGGACUGAGACACUGCCCAGACUCCUACGGGAGGCUGCAGUCGAGUAUCUUUCGCAAUGCCCGAAAGGGUGACGAAGCGACGCCGCGUGUGGGAAGAAGGCCUUCGGGUUGUAAACCACUGUCAGGAGUUAAGAAGUGCAAGGGUGCGAAUAGCGCCUUUGCUUGACUAAGGCUCCAGAGGAAGCCACGGCUAACUCUGUGCCAGCAGCCGCGGCAAUACAGAGGUGGCAAGCGUUGUUCGGAAUUAUUGGGCGUAAAGAGCACGUAGGCGGUUCUGCAAGUCGGCUGUGAAAGCCUUCCGCUCAACGGAAGAACAGCAGUUGAUACUACAGGACUAGAGUGCGGGAGGG